UAUCCAAAUUCCCAAACUAACAUGGCCAUACUGGCUGGGAGUAAUAGUUGUGGAAACUAAGGUCCAAAACAUAACUUUUUCAAGUUUUGCAGGAAUGUAAACAAACAAACAAACAAACAACUGGUAAGGAAAUACCACAAAACAUUACAGUGUAUUCUCCUGUUGUUUGAUGUUGCACCCCUACUAAGCAAGAAGGGCUACAGGCUACACUGAUGACCUGCUCCCCCACCCCACUAACAGUAGCAAUUUCAGAAACAUUUUUCCAUGAGGCAGAGGAAAAAACAGCUGAAGCAAUUAGGUACUCAAUGAAUGUAAACUUAACUGAUUUUCUCUAACAGAUAUUGCAACAUAUGGAAUAUACCAAAUGGGAAAGAAGAGGAUUCAUUCUCUUCAUCGUAAAUAAAACUAGGAAGGGUGGAAGGAAGAACAAAGUGCCUCACACUUGCCCUCUGCCUCCAUUUCAGGGUCCAGUGAAAAGAGCUUUUUUUGCUCCAGAAAAUACAAAGAAUGAUGAUUUUACGACGUCCCACGUUUGGCUAACUAAAGUACAUAGACGGGAUUGGAUACCCCUUUCCCCAAAUACAGUGCUUUCAUGUAGCUCAUAAAGUACGUACAAGUGGAGAUCAUCCCAUUCAAAGCAAGGGUGCUUCUUGGACCUAAGAAACUUGAACCACUCAUCAAGUGGAUUAUUAUGUGAACAAAAGGAAUACAGAAGAUUCUGCAAUGAAGAGUCAGGGGUCUUGAGUUCCUGAGCUUACAAAAUAAUAAUGAGCUUCCAUGGGGAAAAACCAUAUGCUUGACUUUGCAUAGUGCAUGCAUGCAUCUCAACCUUACGUCAGCAAUAAACAAAGAUGCUACACAAUUCA
This 866-nucleotide long non-coding RNA is filed under the name Pogona vitticeps (central bearded dragon). Its description in RNAcentral is "lncRNA (ENSPVIG00000025624.1)". Lineage: Eukaryota; Metazoa; Chordata; Lepidosauria; Squamata; Agamidae. The record is from RNAcentral.